Molecule: long non-coding RNA, 1237 nt
Organism: Puma concolor (puma)
Lineage: Eukaryota; Metazoa; Chordata; Mammalia; Carnivora; Felidae
Source: RefSeq, a predicted model, not a curated record
AGAAACUGUCACAGCCCAGAGGAGCCUAAGGAGACAUGGCAACUAAAUGGAACGCAGUAUCCUGGAUGGAAUCCUGGGGCACAGAAAGGACAUGUAAUGAAGAGUUUCCAGGUAAAACAAUCAGACUGGUGUCCGAAAGAAGCUUCUGAAAUCGACUCGGCUAAAUACUUCCUAACCCCUUCUCCGCUAACAACGCAAAUCCCCCGCGGGUCCUGCGUCUUCAGAGCUGCGCUCUUUUCCUACGACAGAGGCGCUGCGUCCGUCGCGCCUGCGGCGUCAGUUUCUCAGACGCCCUCCCGACACGGACGACAGGGACGGCCGGGCCCGGGAAGACCCGGAGAGCCAACCUGGUGCCUGCCGUUCUCGGAGGGGCCGCUGGGCGGCGGGGCCAGGUCUCCGCUGCUGCCUUAGCUUCUGGGGCCCAGGGCUUCAGCGAACGCGCUUCCUACUCGCAUUUCCCAGGGCUCGUUAGGAUGCAGCGUUCACGUCUACUCCUUGCAGAACUCACCGGCAACAUCCUGCACUCGUCAGGUUUUGCCUUCAUGCAGCGAACAUCCUACGUCUUCGCCAGAGCGAGGGACGUAGCAAAAACAGCUGCCCGGAGGCAGUGAAUGCGGAAGAAAAAGGAGGUAAAAGAAUACAGCCGGUUCCACGGUCUUCGCUCAGUAAGAGAGUAAGUAACUUCGGAAACCCUGAAUGGAGCUGGUGUCGAAGAAGAAAAGGGCUAGAACUCUUCAUGGCUACACUUGUGUUUAAAGAUCAAAGUUAAACUUUGUAUUCUUCACUGGCACGUUUUCUCAAAACACUGGUUUGUUACUCUUUUCUUUCUUAAAUCAACUAGAUGUGCUUAAUGAACGUCACUGUUAAAAGAGGAAAGAAAUCUGAACUACUUCCUUGGCAAAAGGUCUCACCAGGGACUUCAAAGGACGCGCACAGUUACAAAAUAACAUUCGCCAUCACCAUGCUGGAAACACCCACGGGAGGGAUUUUCAUAGGCAGAUAAAAAUAAUUUCUAAGGCUUGACAAUAGCAAAAGCAGUUUUUCCUAGCUAUUCUGAGUUUACUCUUUUAAAAAUGUACAUAUUUAAUUUAGGAUUUUGAAAUACGUGUUAAAAGGUAAUAAUACAGUCUCACGGUUAGGGGAAAAAAAGUUAGCUGAUGAAAACUCUCUCUCUGCCCCUGCCUGCCAGUGCCCUCCUGUGUCCUGUGCUCAAAUAUACAAAUAAAUGGGAGUGUGU